Non-coding RNA from Glonium stellatum, 81 nucleotides. The record is from the annotation of a GenBank genome assembly. NCBI's taxonomy places the organism in Eukaryota, Fungi, Ascomycota, Dothideomycetes, Gloniales, Gloniaceae.
GGUGAGCUGGUGCAAAAGGAAGCAUGUUCGUAACCCUAAAAGGGGAAGCGAAAGAUAGAGGUUCGAAUCCUCUUCUUACUC